Molecule: long non-coding RNA, 1578 nt
Filed under: Homo sapiens (human)
Lineage: Eukaryota; Metazoa; Chordata; Mammalia; Primates; Hominidae
Description: HSALNT0401992
Source: RNAcentral
UGGGGCAGUGCAGAGGGGGCCCUGGCCAGCCCUAGUCUGGGGCAUCUGAUGGCAGGACCAACCCUCCCUCACAGGACCCAGCCCUUGUCAGGGCCCAGCCCACACUGGGGUUGGUGCCCGUCUAUCCCUGACAAGGACACUCACAGUGACCUCCUUCGGACAUGUUUUUCUUCUUGCCUGUGGAUCAAUUCCUCCUGGCUCAGACCCCUCCAGGACUCUGGCACUGAUCUCUCUUGGUCUCGGAUUUGAGGAAAUAAAAAUAGAAGAGGAAAAACACAGAACUCUCCAAAGCUUUGGAGUGGCUGCAGCCAUCUGGAUGGAGGCAGCAUGCGCCUGGGCUGGAAGAGCCACGGUCCCUUGACUGAGUCUCGGUGCUUCUCCCCGUCCCUCUCAGACACGGUUCUCAUGGUGGACGAGAUGGGGCCGGAUCUUAGGCCCGGGAUUCUGCAGAAUGCAAGGCUCAGAGCUUGCCUAGCUCUGAGUGGCUUGGAGACUGGUGUGAGGACUGAGGGUGUCCACAGAUCACCAACCCACACCGGCAGCCUGAGUUGGAAGACAGGUCAGACGUCUCGGAAGAGCUGGCUUAUUCGGGAAGCUCCGAGGAACCUUGCCUUGUCCAGCCUUUUGGGCACCCCCACUCUUUAGCUCACAGUCGCUCCCUCCAUCUUCACAGCCAGCACUGAAGCAUUCCCCACUCGCUCUCAUUCAGACCUCUGCUCCCAACAGUCUUGUCAUCUCUCUCUCUGACCGUCUCACGGAAACCCUGUGAUGACAUGGGGCUCACCCACAUAUUUCAGGAUAGUCUGCUCAUCUCAAGAUCCUGAACUCCAUCGCACCUGCAAAGUCUUUUGUGCAAGGUGUGAUAGAAUCAAAAAUAAAUAUUUGGUCCUGCCACAGAGUUUCCAAAACCCUUGGAAUCCCCUCAGCGGGCUGAUGGGAGCAUCGAUUGUCAUUCAGACCAAUCCUCUCCUGACCAUACCUGAGUUUAUGCUAAUUAGGUAACCCUUGAAUGGCCAAUGGAAUCAACCCUCCAGAGCGAAACUCUGUCUCGAAAAAAAAAAAAAAGAAAGAAAGAAAGAAAAAAGAAAUGCUGAUUAGAGGGUUAGAACUUUCAGCCCCACCUCCUGACCCUGGGGAGGGGAGAGAGGCUGAAGGUUGAUCUAAUCACCAAUGGCGAAAGAUUUAAUCAGUCAUGCAUACCCCUCCCUGAAAGAAGGGGUUCAGAGAGCUUCCAGGUUGGUGAAUGCGGGUUGAUUCUGGGACCAGGAAUGCUGUUUCUGCAGACAGCUGCAGGGCUAUUCCCUAGGCUUCUUGAGGUCUUUGUCCAAAGUCACCUUUCUCAGAGUCUUCUGACCCCUGUUGACCCCUGAGUCUCCUCCUGACCAUCUCUUUUCCCCUGUCACUUGCUUUCUCUCCUUAAUACUGAUUGUCACCCAACGAUGGAAUGCCUUACAGAAGACUAGAGAGCAGCAACUUUGUCUAUUUUGGUCACUGUGUGUCCCCAGUUCCCAGCACAGUGUUUGGCACACAGCAGAGCUUAUUUGACAUGUUUUGAUGAAUAAAUGUCAUUGUUGUUAC